Molecule: long non-coding RNA, 1966 nt
Organism: Loxodonta africana (African savanna elephant)
Lineage: Eukaryota; Metazoa; Chordata; Mammalia; Proboscidea; Elephantidae
Exons: 3
Source: RefSeq, a predicted model, not a curated record
CCAAAGGUGAGCACUGUUCUUAGGGCUUGGACCAGGCCCCCCGGCCCAUGCCACAAAUCAAAUCAGGACACAUGACCAGUGAAAGUGUUUAAUAGUUAAAUUAUUUAAAUAGACUUUUCAAUUUCCAUGGGAAAUCAUAAUCGUAUCCAUUUUUGCAAGAGCAGGAAUAAAAAGAGUGCACACCCCUUAGAGGGAAUGAAGAACUAGCACUGCACACUGUCAACAGUCACUGCUGGGAUGACCAACGGGGAACACGGAUGAACUCGGCACACACCCUGUACUCAGGCUGGAAGCAAAAGGCAAAGCCAACACCACUGGCGGAUAUGAAAGGCAGGGAACUGGACGGCAACACUCAGAGAAAAGCCAGCCCCUCGCAAGGGAUGCAGAGGAACUCAAAGGAUGAGCCGCGGAAGCACGGACGGCCUCAGCUUGGCAGUUUCCGAACCACUACUCUGCUCUUGCCUCCCCCUUGCAAUUCGUUCCGCUUCCCUCAAAGGGACGCUGUGCAUGCGAAGUGUGGAGGACUGUGACCAGGGCUACAGUCUUUCCAAAGACAGCAUGGAGCAUGGCUCUCGGCCUCUGCCUGAAUUGUAAAGACUCACUCAGAAAAGCAGACCCCUCGGCCCUGAGGUACCCCCAGGCCAGAGCUGUGCUGCCUACCCACCCUUCUGGGGCUUAGGCCCUGCCCUCAGCCCAUUCCUGGGUGCUGGACUGCACCACACCAAGAAAUGCUCCAGCGGCUCCUUCCCACCAUGCAGCAGCACCCGUUAGAAAACUCAAGAGUCAGCCCCAGGCCUAGCAGAGUCUUCUACAGAGGGAAACAUCUUUGGUCAGCUUGGUGCUUGCAGGACGUUGGCAUCCGGGGCCUGUGACGGAGGCUGCUGCCCAUCGGCAAGGGCAGCAGCUGCUUCUGGAGUCAAAGUGGAAAAUCUCACCAGCGUGGCCACAUGGGCUGGCACGCAGGCAUCCCACCUGUCCGCCCGGCACACAAAGAGGCCGUUUCUGUUUCUCUGGAGGCCAGGCUGCCUGGCACCAUUGCUGGCAUCUGCUAACUGAGCGGGGGCCCUCCAUUGAGGAAGUAGGUCAUCAUCUCGCCUUUGCCCUUGACCUUGACCACACCCCGGCACUCCAGCUGGUAUGUGUUGGCAGCCAGCACCUGGUACAUGUCUGUGGUGACCUAAGGAGGUAAAAGAGGAGAGAGGAUGGACCACAGGUGACCUGAGCCGUGGAUCUGCGCUCAGGGUGGAGCCGCCCUCUGACAGCUCAACCCUGCCAUUGCCCUUGACACUGGGUUGGAGAGCAGCCCCUUCACUUCGGGGGCUUCUAGGGUCUGACAGCCCCUCAUCUAUGGAAGCGCUAGUUAGAAAGGAGAAUGAUGACAGCUAUGCCAGGCACUGUGACAAGCACCUCACGUGUUAUUUCAGCACUACUCAAAGUGUGGUCUGUGGACCGACACAGGCUAUGCGCUGUCUGUCACCAGCCCACAAUAAGACAGGUACAGAAAUUUACAGUAUGGGCUUAGAAACCGUUACGGCAAUCUGACAUGCCACAACACACAAGUAGGAAUCAGAGUAUUUUACAAAACGAUCCCUUCAUGCCAGAUUCGAAGUAUUUUUUACAACUGGCAUUUCAUCACAGAAUCCUCAAGAGAAGAAGAAAACACCGAACAAAGCAGUUACUAUUACAAAAACAAUGUAAGGACAAAAAGAACUGCAAAAAUACCUUGAACUUUACAGAACGACAAAUUCAGCGCUGUAAUUCUGAAACCAUCUCGUGUAUGCAGUAGGAUGGAGCAAAUGAGUGAGUACGUGGAUGUAUAUGGGCUUUCUUUGUACUAUGCUUUCAAAGCCCUGGUGGCGCACUGGAUAAGAGCUCAGGGGCUAACCAACAGGUCAGCAGUUUGAAUCCACCAGCCGCUCCUUGGAAAUCCUACUCUGUUCUAUAGGGCUCCUGUGAGUUGGAUCGA